UACAUGUGGGGCAAGCGUUGUUCGGAAUUACUGGGCAUAAAGGGUGCGUAGGCGGCUUGUUAAGUCACUGGUGAAAGUUUUCGGCCUAACCGGAAAAUGGCCUGUGAUACUGGCUAUCUUGAGUUCGGGAGAGGUGAGUGGAAUGCCGAGUGUAGAGGUGAAAUUCGUAGAUAUUCGGCGGAACACCAGUGGCGAAGGCGACUCACUGGCCCGAUACUGACGCUGAGGCGCGAAAGCGUGGGGAGCAAACAGG
This 253-nucleotide ribosomal RNA is filed under the name uncultured bacterium. Its description in RNAcentral is "partial 16S ribosomal RNA". It matches the Rfam family "Bacterial small subunit ribosomal RNA", at positions 524 to 776 of the family's 1533-position model. The record is from RNAcentral.